Molecule: ribosomal RNA, 484 nt
Filed under: uncultured bacterium
Lineage: Bacteria
Description: partial 16S ribosomal RNA
Rfam family: Bacterial small subunit ribosomal RNA
Source: RNAcentral
AUUGAACGCUGGCGGCAUGCUUUACACAUGCAAGUCGAACGGCAGCGCCGUCUUCGGCCUGGCGGCGAGUGGCGCACGGGUGAGUAAUGCAUCGGAACGUGCCCAGUAGUGGGGGGUAGCACGGUGAAAACCGGAUUAAUACCGCAUACGACCUGCGGGUGAAAGCGGGGGACCGAAAGGACUCGCGCUAUUGUAGCGGCCGAUGUCGGAUUUGCUAGUUGGUGGGGUGAAGGCUUACCUAGGCGGCGAUCCGUAGCUGGUCUGAGAGGACGACCAGCCACAGUGGGGGUGAGACACGGCCCAGACGCCUACGGGAGGCAGCAGUGGGGAAUUUUGGACAAUGGGGGCAACCCUGAUCCAGCCAUGCCGCGUGCGGGAAGAAGGCCUUCGGGUUGUAAACCGCUUUUGUUCGGGAAGAAAUCCUCUGGGCUAAUACCCCGGGGGGAUGACGGUACCGGAUGAAUAAGCACCGGCUAACUACGUG